RNAcentral lists this transfer RNA (71 nucleotides) under Marmota monax (woodchuck). It matches the Rfam family "tRNA". From Rfam's summary of the family: Transfer RNA (tRNA) molecules are approximately 80 nucleotides in length. Their secondary structure includes four short double-helical elements and three loops (D, anti-codon, and T loops). Further hydrogen bonds mediate the characteristic L-shaped molecular structure. tRNAs have two regions of fundamental functional importance: the anti-codon, which is responsible for specific mRNA codon recognition, and the 3' end, to which the tRNAs corresponding amino acid is attached (by aminoacyl-tRNA synthetases). tRNAs cope with the degeneracy of the genetic code in two manners: having more than one tRNA (with a specific anti-codon) for a particular amino acid; and 'wobble' base-pairing, i.e. permitting non-standard base-pairing at the 3rd anti-codon position. Lineage: Eukaryota; Metazoa; Chordata; Mammalia; Rodentia; Sciuridae. The record is from Rfam by way of RNAcentral.
GAUGGUGUAGCUCAAUGGUGAGCACUUGUCUACCAUGCACAAGGCCCUGGGUUUGGUCCCCAGCACCACCA